Molecule: ribosomal RNA, 1412 nt
Filed under: metagenome
Description: bacterial SSU rRNA
Rfam family: Bacterial small subunit ribosomal RNA
Source: RNAcentral
GCGAGUAAAGUGGCAGACGGGUGAGUAACACGUGAACAACCUACCUUUGAGUGGGGAAUAACACCGCGAAAGCGGUGCUAAAACCGCAUAACAUCUUCGGAUCGCAUGACCUGGAGAUCAAAGACGAAAGUCGCUCGAAGAGGGGUUCGCGCCUGAUUAGCUAGUUGGUGAGGUGACGGCCCACCAAGGCAACGAUCAGUAGCCGGCCUGAGAGGGCGUACGGCCACACUGGAACUGAGACACGGUCCAGACUCCUACGGGAGGCAGCAGUGGGGAAUUUUGCGCAAUGGGCGAAAGCCUAACGCAGCAACGCCGCGUGGAGGAUGAAGGCCUUCGGGUCGUAAACUCCUGUCAGUGGGGACGAAAGCCCAAAAGGUUUGACUGUACCCGCUGAGGAAGCCACGGCUAACUCCGUGCCAGCAGCCGCGGUAAUACGGAGGUGGCAAGCGUUGUUCGGAAUUACUGGGCGUAAAGGGCGCGUAGGCUGCUUAGCAAGUCAGAUGUGAAAGCCCCGGGCUUAACUCGGGAAUGGCAUCUGAAACUGCUUUGCUUGAGUCCUGGAGGGGGUAGUGGAAUUCCCAGUGUAGCGGUGAAAUGCGUAGAUAUUGGGAGGAACACCUGCGGCGAAGGCGGCUACCUGGACAGUGACUGACGCUGAGGCGCGAAAGCUAGGGGAGCGAACGGGAUUAGAUACCCCGGUAGUCCUAGCCGUAAACGAUGGGCACUUGGUGUUGGGGGUAUUGAGUCCUCCGGUGCCGGAGUUAACACGUUAAGUGCCCCGCCUGGGGAGUACGGUCGCAAGACUGAAACUCAAAGGAAUUGACGGGGGCCCGCACAAGCGGUGGAGCAUGUGGUUCAAUUCGACGCAACGCGAAGAACCUUACCGGGGCUCGAACAGUAACUGCAAUCCUUGGAAACAGGGAGUUCUCUUCGGAGACGGUUACCGAGGUGCUGCAUGGCUGUCGUCAGCUCGUGUCGUGAGAUGUUGGGUUAAGUCCCGCAACGAGCGCAACCCUUGCCCUUAGUUGCUAACAGGUUAAGCUGAGCACCCUAAGGGAACUGUCGGCGAAAAGCCGGAGGAAGGUGGGGAUGACGUCAAGUCCUCAUGGCCCUUACGUCCCGGGCUACACACGUGCUACAAUGGUCGGUACAAAGGGUUGCCAACCCGCGAGGGGGAGCUAAUCCCAAAAAAACCGAUCUCAGUCCGGAUUGCAGUCUGCAACUCGACUGCAUGAAGUCGGAAUCGCUAGUAAUCGCAGAUCAGCACGCUGCGGUGAAUACGUUCCCGGGCCUUGUACACACCGCCCGUCACAUCACGAAAGUGGGUUGUACUAGAAAUCGCUGGGCUGACCCGCAAGGGAGGUAGGCGCUUAAGGUAUGAUCCAUGAUUGGGGUGAAGUCGUAACAAGGUA